GUGCUAGCAGGCGGCGAAUUUUUUCUCAAUGGGGGCAACCCUGAAGGAGCGACGCCGCGUGGAGGAUGAAGGCUUUUCGGGUUUGUAAACUCCUGUCAUUUGAGAACAAAGUGUUAGCAAGUAACUACUGCUAGCUUGAUAGUAUCAGAACGGAGGAAGGGACGGCUAAACUCUGUGCCAGCAGCCGCGGUAAUACAGAGGUCCCAAGCGUUGUUCGGAUUCAUUGGGCGUAAAGGGUUGCGUAGGUGGCGCGC
This 254-nucleotide ribosomal RNA is filed under the name uncultured organism. Its description in RNAcentral is "partial 16S ribosomal RNA". It matches the Rfam family "Bacterial small subunit ribosomal RNA", at positions 345 to 583 of the family's 1533-position model. The record is from RNAcentral.